AGCACAUCCACCUGGAGGCACCAUGGAGGAGAGGGAUGGAGCAAACCCCAGCAGAAGGGAAUGGCACUUUUGGAAAUGUGGGCUCUGAGACCUGCUGCUGCUCUGAACCCAGCAAUGCAAAGGGUGGCUCCAAGGAUCCACAGGAAUCAGUGAAAAGCCAGGGAGUUCUGUGUGGAGAAGCCUCAUGGAUGAGGUCUGGUCCAGACUGCAUUUGCAAUCCUGAGUGCUGCAAUGUGACUGUGGCAGCAAAUUUGGGUUAAUCUGGAGUUUGGCUUUGGUGGCUCUAGGAGGCACUUCAUGAAAACCCAAACCAGCCAAGUCAAAUGAACAAACACCCACAUCCUUGGUAGCCUGACUCUGC
Long non-coding RNA from Vidua macroura (Pin-tailed whydah), 361 nucleotides. RefSeq lists it as uncharacterized. The record is from RefSeq and is a predicted model, not a curated record. The transcript has 3 exons. Lineage: Eukaryota; Metazoa; Chordata; Aves; Passeriformes; Viduidae.